GACGAACGCUGGCGGCGUGCUUAACACAUGCAAGUCGAACGGAAAGGCCCUGCUUUUGUGGGGUGCUCGAGUGGCGAACGGGUGAGUAACACGUGAGUAACCUGCCCUUGACUUUGGGAUAACUUCAGGAAACUGGGGCUAAUACCGGAUAGGAGCUCCUGCUGCAUGGUGGGGGUUGGAAAGUUUCGGCGGUUGGGGAUGGACUCGCGGCUUAUCAGCUUGUUGGUGGGGUAGUGGCUUACCAAGGCUUUGACGGGUAGCCGGCCUGAGAGGGUGACCGGCCACGUUGGGACUGAGAUACGGCCCAGACUCCUACGGGAGGCAGAAGUGGGGAAUAUUGCACAAUGGGCGGAAGCCUGAUGCAGCAACGCAGCGUGCGGGAUGACGGCCUUCGGGUUGUAAACCGCUUUCGCCUGUGACGAAGCGUGAGUGACGGUAAUGGGUAAAGAAGCACCGGCUAACUACGUG
Molecule: ribosomal RNA, 468 nt
Filed under: uncultured bacterium
Lineage: Bacteria
Description: partial 16S ribosomal RNA
Rfam family: Bacterial small subunit ribosomal RNA
Source: RNAcentral